Cyprinus carpio carpio is the source of this 2280-nucleotide long non-coding RNA. NCBI's taxonomy places the organism in Eukaryota, Metazoa, Chordata, Actinopteri, Cypriniformes, Cyprinidae. The record is from Ensembl.
AUGGGUCCCUGUGUUCCACCUCGCUGCCCCACUGCGGGUACGGCUGUGGUUCCGCUGGUCCCGCUUGUACGGUUUCUAAGCGCCUGGUCAGCGCUACCCAGCCCGUCUCGCUGGCUCCUGCGGACCAUCAGCCUCGGCUAUGCGAUUCAGUUCGCCCGGCGUCCCCCCAAGUUCAGCGGUAUCCGCUUCACUACAGUGAAAACGUCCGAUGCCCCUGUUCUGCGGGAAGAGAUUGCAGUCUUACUGGCGAAAGACGCGAUAGAGCCGGUCCCUCCAGCCGAUAUGAGGACGGGGUUUUACAGCCCCUGCUUCAUUGUACCCAAGAAAGGCGGUGGGUUACGACCAAUCUUGGAUUUGCGAGUUUUGAACCGGGCCCUUCAUCGGCUACCGUUCAAGAUGUUGACGCAGAAACGCAUCUUCGGGUGCGUCCGUCCCCGAGAUUGGUUUGCAGCGAUCGACCUGAAGGACGCGUACUUUCAUGUGUCGAUCCUUCCGCGCCACAGACCUUUUCUGCGGUUUGCGUCUGAAGGACAGGCAUAUCAGUACAAGGUCCUGCCCUUCGGGCUGUCCCUUUCUCCCCGUGUCUUCACGAAAGUCACAGAGGCGGCUCUUGUUCCCCUCAGAGAGCAGGGUGUUCGUAUUCUCAACUAUCUAGACGAUUGGCUGAUACUAGCACAAUCUCGGGAUCAGUUGUGCGAACACAGGGACCUGGUGCUCCGGCACCUCAGCCUGUUGGGCCUUCGGGUCAACUGGGAAAAGAGCAAACUCUUGCCAACGCAGAGGAUCUCUUUUCUCGGUAUGGAGUUGGAUUCGGUCGAACAGACAGCACGCCUCAUAGAGGAACGUGCGCGGUCGGUGCUAGCCUGCUUGAAUACAUUCAAGAGCAGGACAGCGGUCCCACUGAAACUCUUUCAGAGGCUCCUGGGGCAUAUGGCGGCCGCAGCGGCACUUACACCGCUCGGCCUGUUACAUAUGAGACCGCUCCAGCACUGGCUUUAUGGCCGAGUCCCGAGGUGGGCGUGGAAGCGCGGCACUCACCGGGUCCAAGUUACACCGGCCUGUCGCCAACCCCUCACCCCCGUGGUCAGAUCUUGCGUUUCUCAGGGCAGGGGUGCCCCUAGAGCAGAUCUCCAGGCAUGCUGUGGUUUACACGGAUGCCUCCACCACCCGGCUGGGGGCCACGUACAACGGGCAUGCAGUCUCAGGGGUUUGGACGGGCCCGCAGCUGCAGUGGCACAUCAGUUGCCUAGAGUUGUUAGCAGUGCACCUUGCCUUGAACCGUCUCAAAGGUCACUUACGAGGCAAGCAUGUGCUGGUCCGAACGGACAACACAGCGACCGUUGCGUACAUCAACCGACAAGGUGGUCUGCGCUCCCGUCGCAUGUCACAACUCGCCCGCCACCUCCUCCUUUGGAGUCAGAAGGUUCUGAGGUCUCUUCGUGCCAUUCACAUUCCAGGCCUGCUCAACCGUACAGCCGACGAGCUGUCUCGAGCAAUGCUCCCAGGAGUAUGGCGACUCCAUCCCCUGAUGGUCCAGCUGAUUUGGAGACGGUUUGGAGCCGCUCAGGUAGACCUGUUUGCUUCUCCAGAGACCGCUUACUGCCAGUUGUUCUACUCCCUGACCGAGGGAACUCUCGGCAGGGAUGCACUGGCACACAGCUGGCCGCGGGGCCUACGCAAGUAUGCGUUUCCCCCAGUGAGCCUUCUUGCACAGACACUGUGCAAAGUCCGGGAGGACGAGAAGCAAGUCUUGCUAGUGGCGCCGUAUUGGCCCACGCGGACCUGGUUCCCCGAACUAGUGCUCCUCGCGACAGCCCCUCCUUGGCCGAUUCCUCUGAGGAAGGAUCUACUGACUCAGAGACGGGGCACCAUUUGGCACCCGCGUCCAGACCUUUGGAAACUCCAUGUCUGGUCCCUGGACGGGACGCGGAGGUUCUAGGUGACCUGCCCCAGGAGGUAGUGAACACCAUCACUUCGGCAAGAGCACAGUCUACGAGACACGCUUACGCCUUGAAGUGGAACCUGUUCGUCGAGUGGUGUUCUUCUCGCCGAGAAGACCCCCGAAGAUGCCCGAUUGCGGUUGUGCUUUCCUUUCUGCAGCAAGGGCUGGAGCGAAGGCUGUCUCCCUCCACCCUCAAAGUCCAGGUUGCCGCUAUUGCUGCGUACCAUGACCCCGUGAAUGGGAAGUCUUUAGGUAAGCAUGACCUCGUCAUCAGGUUCCUUAGAGGGGCCAGGAGGUCAAAUCCUUCCCGGCCCCCUCCAUACCCUCUUGGGACCUGA